AAUGAAAGUACUGGCUGGGUAAAAUUAAUUUUGACAAGGAUUUUCGAAAUAAUUUGAAUUAUCGGAACAAUAUUAUUGUGUCAUAACUUAGCAAACGAGAAUUUGGAGUAAGAUUUACGUAUUUUCGUCUAAAUAAUGAAAAUGGGUGGUUUACGAUCAAUAAUUUCAGGCACUUGUCGUGCGAGAACAGUGUUGACUAACGUCCACGCACCAUUGAGAAUUCAAAAAUAUGGAGCACAUAUGGAGGGGCCUCCACAACCGUUUGACAAUUUACCAUUCUCAGUUCCAAACCGAUAUGCAGCGACGAUGUUCUUUUCCGUCUUUUUCGGAGUUGGAUUAUGGGCCCCAUUCAUUAUAGUAUGGUACAUGAUGGCUAAAAGGACUUUGUAAUUUUAAAACAGAAAUAAAAGGGGACUACAUUUACUAGCUUUAUUUUAUGACAUAAUAUUGACUAGGUUCCUCAUACUACUGUUUUUCAAUUUCAAAAUCACAAAAUGUUUAAUUCAAGUAAAACACAUUCAGGCACUUUUAAAUGGAUGUAAAUCUGGAUAAAAUACUAACUUUUAGUUUUAUAUUCAAAAAUUCAUCUACGCUACGUUGCUUAACAUUUUAAACUUAUCACUUUAACAGCAUACCCGGGUUCUGGGUCAAAGUAAUCUUUGAUAGCGGAUUCACGAAACUAUAAAUAUAAUUUUGGUUCGGACCGUGGGUUCAUAAUUACCAUAUCCCUAAUCCUUUCUCUCUUUAGAUUAUUUUCUUGUAAUUUGCUAUGACUUAUUGUUGAGGGCUACAACAAACCUAAACCCUUUUAAUUUUCCAGACUAAAAAAUAAAUUAAAUAAAUACACUUUUGGAAUAGAAGUAGUCCUCAAAUUAAGGCCGUUGAAAUAUUUAAAUGAAUUAAUUUUCUUGUUGAACCUACCUACCAUAGUUUAUUAAGAUGUAGGUAGCAUUGUUAAUAUUAGUUUAAACUCAAAUAGGUAAAAUACCCAUGUUUGUAAAGUUAUAGAAAUUAAACACAUAAAAAAAA
This is a long non-coding RNA of Trichoplusia ni (cabbage looper), 1029 nucleotides long. RefSeq lists it as uncharacterized. Lineage: Eukaryota; Metazoa; Arthropoda; Insecta; Lepidoptera; Noctuidae. The record is from RefSeq and is a predicted model, not a curated record. The transcript has 2 exons.